Molecule: ribosomal RNA, 484 nt
Filed under: uncultured bacterium
Lineage: Bacteria
Description: partial 16S ribosomal RNA
Rfam family: Bacterial small subunit ribosomal RNA
Source: RNAcentral
AUUGAACGCUGGCGGCAGGCCUAACACAUGCAAGUCGAGCGGAUGAAGGGAGCUUGCUCUUGGAUUCAGCGGCGGACGGGUGAGUAAUGCCUAGGAAUCUGCCUGGUAGUGGGGGAUAACGUCCGGAAACGGGCGCUAAUACCGCAUACGUCCUGAGGGAGAAAGUGGGGGAUCUUCGGACCUCACGCGAUCUGAUGAGCCUAGGUCGGAUUAGCUAGUUGGUGGGGUAAAGGCCUACCAAGGCGACGAUCCGUAACUGGUCUGAGAGGAUGAUCAGUCACACUGGAACUGAGACACGGUCCAGACUCCUACGGGAGGCAGCAGUGGGGAAUAUUUGACAAUGGGCGAAAGCCUGAUCCAGCCAUGCCGCGUGUGUGAAGAAGGUCUUCGGAUUGUAAAGCACUUUUAGUUGGGAGGAAGGGCAGUAAGUUAAUACCUUGCUGUUUUGACGUUACCAACAGAAUAAGCACCGGCUAACUUCGUG